RNAcentral lists this ribosomal RNA (478 nucleotides) under Candida albicans. RNAcentral's name for it is "SSU rRNA". It matches the Rfam family "Eukaryotic small subunit ribosomal RNA", at positions 539 to 1031 of the family's 1831-position model. Lineage: Eukaryota; Fungi; Ascomycota; Pichiomycetes; Serinales; Debaryomycetaceae. The record is from RNAcentral.
UUUAUUUUGGGAGGGGGAAGUUCUGGUGGCCAGCAGCCGGCGGUAUUUCCAGCUCCCAAAAGCCGUAUAUUAAAGUUGUUGCAGUUAAAAAGCUCGUAGUUGAACCUUGGGCUUGGCUGGCCGGUCCAUCUUUUUGAUGCGUACUGGACCCAGCCGAGCCUUUCCUUCUGGGUAGCCAUUUAUGGCGAACCAGGACUUUUACUUUGAAAAAAUUAGAGUGUUCAAAGCAGGCCUUUGCUCGAAUAUAUUAGCAUGGAAUAAUAGAAUAGGACGUUAUGGUUCUAUUUUGUUGGUUUCUAGGACCAUCGUAAUGAUUAAUAGGGACGGUCGGGGGUAUCAGUAUUCAGUUGUCAGAGGUGAAAUUCUUGGAUUUACUGAAGACUAACUACUGCGAAAGCAUUUACCAAGGACGUUUUCAUUAAUCAAGAACGAAAGUUAGGGGAUCGAAGAUGAUCUAGAUACCUUCGUACCCUCCACU